This is a long non-coding RNA of Cynoglossus semilaevis (tongue sole), 3404 nucleotides long. RefSeq lists it as uncharacterized. The record is from RefSeq and is a predicted model, not a curated record. The transcript has 3 exons. Lineage: Eukaryota; Metazoa; Chordata; Actinopteri; Pleuronectiformes; Cynoglossidae.
AAAACAUCCAAGGACCCCCGGCUCUGAUAGAGAAAGGGAAUCGAUGAGCUUUGGACUGAGAGAGGUUUCAUCAUCACUGCCCUGCAUUUGGACCCUGCUUCUCACUGGUGGUCCCAACUAUGCAACUGAGCCAUAAAGGACGUAGCAUUGGGCUGUGACUUCAUCCACCUGUCCCUCCUCAGUGAUUAGUCAACCUUCCACACCUGGGUCUUGUUAACUUCUCCCCUGUCGCCUGUCUGUUCCUACCAGCUCCAGGGACGGAUCUGGUCAGAGAUAAUGAAUUCAAGAGCACAAACCCUGCAUCGCCGCGCCCAGCUCGCUUUCAUCUCUGACAUGGAGCGGAACCGCUGUGACACCAUGCACAGGGGCCACCGGGGGACCACACAGCAGACGCUUAACCAUUCAUCAGUGUGAACAUCUAGUUAUGGUUUGAGAAUGAUAAGUUGUUAUGCUAAACUGCACACUAUCGGCCGUCUGUGUUCGACGUGAUCACGAUUAAAGCCCCACUCCCGCUGCAGCAGAGUGUGUUGUUUACAAGACGUAAAAUGGAACCACAGUAGAAUUCUGUGCCACUUGUCGAUGCUUUUGAAAGUUCAGGUCUUAAGAAUAUAUGAACUGAAGCCAAUCAGACGUCUUUAUGGGCACUUUGGUGCUGCCACAGUGAGUAAGUAGGACAUGACACGAGACCCCACUGGUAAUUGUUGCCAUGCCAGUCAUGUCAAAUGCAUUACUGGGAUUACAGGCUUGGCUACGUGUGUGUGGAUGAAUGCAUACGCUGCCUUUCAUUUUGGCACUUUUCCCUGCGUACGUGUUUGAAUGAGAUCUUCAGGGACUCUGCACCGCUCGUCCCGCCGUAGCUCCCACUGAACGCUUCGCAGGCUGGUGCAUAAAGUUCUCCACUUUGUUUGUUUGCUCUGCUUUGGUGCCAUAAAAACUCUGGGUCGGGAAAUUGGCACCACCCUGUUUACACGCUGAGAGUGCAGCUACACAGAGACGCAAGUCUGGGGAACAAAUGUUAGUCAAUGCCACCUCACCACAGAGGGGCAACCCUGAGACCAGCCAUGGGGAGUGGAGGAGUGGCAGUGCCGGGAUCUGUCCAUGUCCUCCAGUCCACACAGAAAUCUGUGGUUGAACAGUUUGACUAGAUGUUAGAGUGAUCAAAGAUCCAUCAUCUGCUCUGUUUCUUAAUCGGCUUCAGUUAGUGAGUGGUCACAGGAACCUGGGUGGAUGACGGUUUGGAAAAAAAGUAACUGGUUAACGAGGUUUUACUGUAUGUAUUGCUUUGGUCCCCAAAUGAAAGUCAGAGAAAGUUCCGGUCUUUACCUGGAACAACAUAGAUGGAACUAGCUGACCACAGGACAACACUGCUGUUGAUCCACUAAACAGAAUGACAUUAAAUGCACCACAUGGGUGUGAGUUUAUAAAUCAUUAACCUGACUAUUGUGUUUCCACUCCUCACUCUGUCUUACCAUCAUAAUAUAAUAAUAUAAUAAUAAACACUGUCUGUAAACAAUCAUUACAACAUUUGUAUCAUUUACCUACUGUCUGACCAACGAUUGAACGUUUGACUUUUCUCUUGUCGUCUUGACUUUUUUCGAACUGUGAUCGUCGUGGUGUUCCGUCGUAUUUAAGAAGGUCAGUCAUGAUGUAACACCUGGCACAGGUAGAGGACAUGUUGUGUGAAAAGAGAAGACAGACAGAGUCAGUCUGACUGAGGGAACCACAAAGACAGAGAUCUUUAAUACAACCUCCGGCAUUGAAUUUCCUGCCUGAAGGAUCGCCAUCUGGGCCUGAACACCGAGAGGGAGAGAACAGAGAGCUGAAGCCUGGGUCCCUAACAGAGGAAAGGUGGGAGUCCAGCUGGGUCCCAUUAGAGUUUGACCACAAGCGCCUGCGGGGGUGUGGUGGACCAAGGGGGCAGGAGAGAGCAAAGAGGGCAGCGGGGAGGAAGUGCUAAGAGCAAUGGGCCUAGACCUGGUGUAGCUUUAUUAGGCUUGUCGUCUGCUCUCAGUGGGACCACUUACAUCCCCCCUACAACACCCAUCGCCUUACCCUUUACCCCCCACCCCCCUCCUCCAAACCCUCUGCUGCCCCGGAGCACAGUACAGAACAGCAUAAAAACUAGUAGAAAGUAGGUAGGAGAUGGGACUGGACCACCCAGACACACAUGCACAUGCGCUCACACACACCCAUAAUAGCUACCAGGAGGAGGCCUCAGCAUGAGAGCUGUAGCUGGAGAAGGAGCGGGACAUGUUCACACUGAAACAAACACACACACAGUUUCAACCGUCAUCCUUUCAGAUGUCACAAACACAUGUGGAUGCAUUUCUUAAUUCCUCUUUGUUUCUAAACAGAUAAUUAUCCUGUUUUACCGUGGAGUGUUUCCCGCUGCCAAGACCACCUGUGGCUCCUGUUACCACGUGAGGUUGAUGGAGGUGCAGCCACGUGUGUUUGUACGUGUGGAAAAACAAAAAAAGAUUUAUGAGAUUCGCACCAAUACUCCAGUACUGUGCAUGCGUUUCAUUAUCAGUCCUGGCAUAUCAGGCGUCUGCGGUGUAAUCAGCGCCCCCUGCCUCCCUCCCCAUCACCCCCUUCUCGCUCCAUUCAUUCUUACACUGCCUCGAGGGGACUCGUGAGAAAACGCCGCCUGGAAUCUGAGCUCUGACCAACACUGUGAAUGAACGUGUCAGUUUUGUCGGAUGGCGGUGACCAUCCUCGGGGGUAGCAGACGGAUAAUGAGCCUCGUGAUGCAGAGGUUUUGGUCUGGUAUGUCAACAUUAGCAUACAGAGUUCAAAGAGUCUGACUACUGCAGGAAGUCUUCGGUCUGACUGAGGGAUGAGAGGCAGUCUGAGAUGCCCACAGUGUCUGCCUUUCAAAGCUCCUACGUGCCAGCGUGUGCGUUAAAAAUAUGGCAAUUGUUCAAUUCUUUAUAUGAAUAAAAAAUAGAAAAAAUGAAUUUGUUCAAUGACAUAAUGAUAAUUCUUAAAAGUGUGCCCAAAAAUUUAAACAAAUUACAAAUAAAAUAAUAUAACAAUGAUUGCUGUGAGUAUUAUUGUAUGUUUUUGUUAUUAGUGUAAAAAAGCCAUUUCCUAAACUCCUACAACCAUGGCUGGCAUGAAGUGCACAACACUUACAAACUGCUGUUUUCCCCUGAGGUAGUAAAUGUGUCUCUUCUCUCUUACUUCUGUUCCACAACAGGGAACUGCAGCUUAACUUACACGCCUUAAUACUUCAGCCAUUAAAUCAUUACAGUGUUUUAUAUAGUCAGUCCCUGGACUUCUCUCUCUUUCUUUUGUAGAAAAAAAAAUAAUAUUUGUCUUUCCAACUGUACUGUGGACCACAAAGUCCUCAUGUUUUAUUUUAGUUAGAGCAGUAAAACCCUGCUCUUCCUGCCAACCAGCUU